RNAcentral lists this ribosomal RNA (369 nucleotides) under uncultured bacterium. RNAcentral describes it as "bacterial SSU rRNA". It matches the Rfam family "Bacterial small subunit ribosomal RNA", at positions 29 to 416 of the family's 1533-position model. The record is from RNAcentral.
AACGAACGCUGGCGGCAUGCCUAACACAUGCAAGUCGAACGGGAUCCUGGUUUCGGCCAGGUGAGAGUGGCGGACGGGUGAGUAACGCGUGGGAACCUGCCCAGUGGUGGGGGAUAACUGCGGGAAACUGCAGCUAAUACCGCAUGAGCCCGCAAGGGGAAAGAUUGAUCGCCAUUGGAGGGGCCCGCGUUCGAUUAGGUAGUUGGUGAGGUAACGGCUCACCAAGCCUACGAUCGAUAGCUGGUCUGAGAGGAUGAUCAGCCACACUGGGACUGAGAUACGGCCCAGACUCCUACGGGAGGCAGCAGUGGGGAAUAUUGGACAAUGGCGCAAGCCUGAUCCAGCCAUGCCGCGUGAGUGAUGAAGGCC